This 1320-nucleotide long non-coding RNA is filed under the name Olea europaea subsp. europaea. Lineage: Eukaryota; Viridiplantae; Streptophyta; Magnoliopsida; Lamiales; Oleaceae. The record is from RNAcentral.
AUCCUCACCAUUAAAUGCAAUGCCAAGAUAUUUUCAUAACUCAGAGUAAGUAUUGCCGGCGAGGAAAUUUCUGACAACUAAUGGUGUCAUCACCAAAGCUAACACUUCGAGCUCCAGUCCACAGCAAAUUUCGAGAAAUUUAGUGUUAGGUGUUGUACUUUGAAAUUUAGCUGGAACAAGGUUUCCCUACAGUACAAGAGCCCAAAAAACAACUGAUUUAUAUCAUCCAUAGUUCUUUAGGUAAUAAGUAUCUCGAAUCUGCUUCAUAAUAAGGCCAAUCAUUAGAAUAAUAGAAUGUAAUGUGUGUGUGGAGUAUUCUUCCAAGCCUCUGAGCCACGACAGCAUGUUCCUGGAACACAACAAAUAAAACAACCGAAAAGAAUAUAAAUGUGAAGCAUAGCCCGUCUAAUUCAAUUAAAUCACUGAACCACAUCCAUUGCAAGGCAAUAUAAUCCAAAUACAUAAAAUGAAUAUUCAGUGAAUUCAAAUCUCCUAUAUACUUUCUUUCAGCGACUGAUCAAACACCAGAAAGUAAAGGCCAAAUCACCACCCAGAUAAACAUUUCAAAUUUUUUGAGAAUACACAUUUAGAACUUAGCAACAGAUAAUUCAGCGAUUAAAAAUAACGACUCUCUGAUUGUGGUAAAAAUUAUAAGCUAUAAUACAUUGUCCAAUGUUGAAUAGCCUCUCCAUCUCUUGAAAGUCUAAGAAUAUCUAUAGAAGGCACAAGCUAUAAUUGGCUCUUUGACAAAUUGACAUCAACAAACCUCUCUAAGAUCCGCUCCUGAAACCAAAUUGUCAGAUGCAAGCACAUAUCAAUAGCAUGAUAUAUAAUAUCCAUACAGAAUCAGCAAUAGUAAAAAGAAAGGCAAAAGGACUGAAAACUAUAGGUAUCUUCGGGUCAAAAGACUGGAGUCGGUUAGCUGGCGAGGGGGAAAAGUGGGGAAAUUGUCAGGCUGUUGCAUUAUGUGGUGAAAAGCAGUGUGCAUGUGAGGAGACUCAAGUUAUUUUCUCAUUAUUGUAUCAUUCUACAUUAUUCCAAUCAUACUGCCUCCCAAAUCGAUUAAAAUGGAAAUCUAGUUAGAUGAAAUUUUAAGGUUCCAGAAAUAUAUCUUGCCAUUUUUUGACCUUUUCAUGAUCCUAUUACUUCAUCUAUUUGAGUUCUAGUUAAGCUUUUUUCUUUUCCAUGGCUGCUGAAAUUGAUUCAAUAAUCCAACCACAGGAUAUGAGAUCAUUCAGGAACUAAUUAAUUUGAGAAAGAAAUAAUUUGAAAAUGCAUUAAUUCGUGAAAAUAUUAAACUCAUCAAUAAUCAGAUGACGA